Molecule: ribosomal RNA, 571 nt
Filed under: uncultured Actinomycetes bacterium
Lineage: Bacteria; Bacillati; Actinomycetota; Actinomycetes
Description: bacterial SSU rRNA
Rfam family: Bacterial small subunit ribosomal RNA
Source: RNAcentral
ACGAUCAGCCACACUGGGACUGAGACACGGCCCAGACUCCUACGGGAGGCAGCAGUAGGGAAUCUUGCGCAAUGGGGGCAACCCUGACGCAGCAACGCCGCGUGUGGGAUGACGGCUUUCGGGUUGUAAACCACUUUCAGUGAUGACGAAAAUGACGGUAAUCACAGAAGAGGGUCCGGCCAACUACGUGCCAGCAGCCGCGGUAAUACGUAGGGCGCAAGCGUUGUCCGGAUUUAUUGGGCGUAAAGGGCUCGUAGGCGGUUUGGUAAGUCGGGUGUGAAAACUCAGGGCUCAACUCUGAGACGCCACUCGAUACUGCCAUGACUAGAGUCCGGUAGGGGAGUGCGGAAUUCCUGGUGUAGCGGUGAAAUGCGCAGAUAUCAGGAGGAACACCAACAGCGAAGGCAGCACUCUGGGCCGGUACUGACGCUGAGGAGCGAAAGCGUGGGGAGCGAACAGGAUUAGAUACCCUGGUAGUCCACGCCGUAAACGGUGGGAACUAGAUGUGGGGUCCGUUCCACGGAUUCCGUGUCGCAGCUAACGCAUUAAGUCCCCCGCCUGGGGAGUACGG